This 1669-nucleotide unclassified non-coding RNA is filed under the name Pomacea canaliculata. RNAcentral describes it as "eMILIN-1-like, transcript variant X3". Lineage: Eukaryota; Metazoa; Mollusca; Gastropoda; Architaenioglossa; Ampullariidae. The record is from RNAcentral.
CUACGACGUGUGGUUUCCAUAGUGAGAACCAUGCCUCGAGAAUGUGCUGCACCCGACUGCCUCGAAAAGAUGGGAAAAGAGGAUAAUUUUUAUGUCCUUGUUGUCCUUGUGCAAUGUUUUGAAGCAGUUUUUCCUUAGUUCCAUCACUGAGAAUAAAGAUACAUUAUUAAAAUUAUAAAAUAUACUUUUAACAAAUUCAUUAUGCUUUCACUUUUUUCAUGGAUUAUUUUAGUAGUUGUUUCCAACAUCUCAUGCCAUACAUUAAAAAAAAUUACAUAAAUAUGUCCCUGUUCUCAACUGACGAAAAACAUUUUUUUCUGAAUUAAGGUCUUUAACGGCAGCGACUGAUGAUUUACUGACUGUGACAAUGAAUAUACAGACAUAUAAAGGAAUAAUGCAUGUUAUCAUUAAUUCACACAACAUUUUGAACUUCUUGUGACUGUACUAGAUUCUGUGGUCUGGCGACAACAGUGACUGUGCCAUGUACAUGUCCUCCAUGUGUGAGUGUCAAGACCCUGGGUCAGGCCGUGUGAUGGACAGGAGAGUGCUAUACUUUUGUAAUAACACUCUUCCCGGAGCAAGUCGUCCUGUUGAAUAUCACGCCGCAAAGACUCUUUUUGACCGGAUCGCCCGGUACAGGUAAAACUGUGGUGCUGUUGAUGAUGGCCAUACAGUGGUUGCAAUGUGGUCACCACGUCUACAUUGUGAGUGUCUGGAGAUGCAGUGACGCAGUCUGCACCAUCUGUAUCACUUGUUGCUGCACACAAUAAACACACAACAGUCAGAAGGUGUAUCACCCAAUCAUCUUCACCUCCUGAAGUAUAAUUUUCAUGACCGUAAAGAAGAAGAGAAGAACGUCAACGACUUCUCACAGGCGGCGAGCGGAGGGUCGUUGUACAUCAUCACUGAUGACGUGAUGUGAGUAGUACAGCGUGUGAUGUGAUGAUAGACAUCAAGGGAUCUUUUAUCUCAUAAUCACCACCAGGUGUUACACAGUAUUUCCUCAAUGGUUGUGACACCUGAUGAAGGUGUUGUAAUGUAACUAAACGAAGAUUUGUCCUGUUUCACAGUUACACAAAUUGUGGCAUCAUUUUUACGUCAUUUGCACAUCGUGUAUUCGAGCUCAUUUAUUUAUUUAUUAUUCACUCAAUCACAUAUUCUAAAUUGACACCAGCAGCAUCUUCAGCAGCUGCUACUGACAGUAAGGUUUUAUGUGAACUUCCACUGAUUAUAUUUAGAGAAUUAGAUGUGCUUUCUUGUUGUGGGUUUUCAUUAAGAGACCUACAAUUAUCAGCGCUAAGAGACUUCGCUUUGCUUUUAGGGGCCACCAUCAGACGGUCUGUUCCUGCAUCACCAUCAUCCGCACCAGCAACGACUCUUACCAUAUCAACUCACCCAUUGUUUUGUAUCUGAGCUAUUUUGGUGGCCGCACACCAAAAGAGGCACUGUAAAGUCUGCUGAAGCAUCUGCUUGCUCCAAAACUAUUUUAUACAGCUUGGAAGGGAGGAAGGAAAAACGAAGAUUUAACACCUUGCAACAUUUAAAAGCCACAAUUUAUGAGCCCAUACUGAAACGAUACAACGAUGUCACAAUGGCCACUUUGGACAAGUACACAGGGGAAUGGCUGGCCAUAUCAGGUGACUGUGAUGGAGGCCGCAAGUGGAGGGAG